This 304-nucleotide ribosomal RNA is filed under the name uncultured bacterium. RNAcentral describes it as "partial 16S ribosomal RNA". It matches the Rfam family "Bacterial small subunit ribosomal RNA", at positions 506 to 807 of the family's 1533-position model. The record is from RNAcentral.
CAGCAGUAGCCGCGGGAAUACGAAAGGUCCAGGCGUUAUCCGGAUUUAUUGAGUUUAAAGGGAGUGUAGGCGGUCUGUUAAGCGUGUUGUGAAAUUUAGGUGCUCAACAUCUAACUUGCAGCGCGAACUGGCGGACUUGAGUGCACGCAACGUAUGCGGAAUUCAUGGUGUAGCGGUGAAAUGCUUAGAUAUCAUGACGAACUCCGAUUGCGAAGGCAGCGUACGGGAGUGUUACUGACGCUUAAGCUCGAAGGUGCGGGUAUCGAACAGGAUUAGAUACCCGCGUAGUCCCUGUCUCUUAUAC